CACACACAGCGCAUGCUCCUUCGUGCAUGAGUCCUGGCUAUUUGGAUGUUUUCGUCUUUUUAUUUUUGCGUUAGCUAAAUUUUAAUAACUGAAACAAGUGUCUUUGUCUAGCAAGAGUAGAGUGUCUUGGUGUGUUGUGCAGUAAUAUUUGGAGUUUUUGCGAAGACAAACAAACCGCACAAAUGCGGAAAAAAUAUUAGCGUGACUGUUUUGCUAGUUGUUAGCUAGCCAAAAAAAAACCAAACAAACACAGAGAAGCGCUGUUAUCUAACUUACUUACAUUGGAUUGGCUCUAUCAGUCUUUUCCGCAAAUAAAUAUUUUUAAGGCUGGCAAAAAAAAAAUUGCGUAACUUUAAAAAAAAAAAAAAUGUCCCACGCAAGGUAAGAUCCCAGCUGAGCACUGGGCCGCUGCAGUGUUUUUCUCUCGAACAAUAAUGUGAGUUCAGUCCCGUAAAAGCAGAGAAUGGACAGAGACCUGUUGAAGCAAUGUCUCACGUAUCACGGACAAUCACUGUUCAACACGCUGAAAUGUGAGCAAACGGAAAACCCAGACUUCCAGGCGGUGGUGUCUGACCUCUGCAAAGCCACGUAUGAGAGCAGGUCUGAAGAGAACAGCAAUGAACUGCUUGUGGAGCAGUUCAUUGCCAGGAAGGCUGACAUCCUGUUCAGUCCAGCAUGGAAGACUGCCGCUCUUCGAGGAGAGGACCACGAAGAAGAGGAGGCUGUAGAGCCCUAUGCAGUCAUGCCACCGAUGGAGUUAUUCAUGGAGGUGCCAUAUGAGGAGAGACGAUCCAUGAUCUACAGGGAUUUGGAAAGAGGAGACAUUGUGGUGGGGAGGAUCAACAAUAUUAGAGAAUAUGGCUUCUUCCUCACUCUGUUUUGCACGGCAGGAGGUCUGAAAAGAGACAUUGAGGACUUGGAGUUGUCGGCUCUGUGUCAUGUCAGAGAAAUUCCCUCCACUGGCAGCCAUGACGACCCUCUGUCCUACUACCAGAUUGGAGACUUCAUCAGAGCUGGAGUGAAAGAUAUUGAUCGCUACCAGGAAAAAAUCACAGUGUCCCUUUAUCAGGCCUGUCUUUCUCCCAGCUUGGAGCACAUCAAACUAGGUGUCAUUACCCGGGAGGAGCUCCCCAUACACUACAGUCGUAGCGUUCGUGCAGCCAGUGACUCCAGUGAGACAUACCAGCAUAUACUGACAGGUUGCCAUGGCUACCACAACCCGUCUGUAGUGGACUACUUGCUGGAGAAGGUCGGAAUUAGUGACACGCAGCCGCCGUCAAUGAUGCGGGGACUGCAGAGUAAACUUUUCCAAGAGGAGGAUUUUGCUUCUGCGAUCAGGAAGAAGCAGUCUGCAUCCUGGGCCUUAAAGUGUGUCCGUGCAGGGGUGGACCACUUCAAACACGGUCGCCAUGUGGAAGCCAUGAAUGAAUACAACAAAGCCUUGGAAAUAGACACGAAUAAUGUAGAAGCACUGGUGGCACGCGGAGCUCUGUAUGCUAACAAAGGCAGCAUCAUGAAGGCAAUAACAGACUUUGAACAGGCUCUUGAGAACUGUCCAGAUCACCGCAACGCCAGGAAGUAUCUGUGUCAGACACUAGUGGAGAGAGGAAAACAGCUUGAGGAACAGGAAAAGCUAGUAACAGCAGAGGGAUUGUACAGAAGAGCUCUAGCCCUAGAUGAUUCAAACCCUGAGGCGCAGGAAGCCCUGCACAAGAUCACAGACACAAUACAGGUGAGUGGACACAACACACACUCACACCUGAGGGUUUCGCAAAAGUUGCCAGGUAUGCGAUGUGUGUAUUUCAGGCUUAACUAUUACAGCACAUGUAGCAGUAAUGGGCAUAUCAAAGCUUAGUUUCAAAUGUGGGGUUAUUUAUGUGUGACUUCAGAAAAAUGAAUGAAACGGGUGGAAAAAGUGAGAGCCUGCUUGUUUUCAUAGCACAGAUUAGUUUCUCAUAAAACCAGCUAACAAGUUCCCCAAGUGGUAUUUAUGUAUGCUCUGUUUAUCUUAUUUGUUUUUAACUAAUAAGUGUGGGUCAAUAUGUUUUUGAGAUAAAUACUGUUAACAGAACAGUGCCUGUGGUUAAUAUUUUUCACUUGAACAGUGGGUGGUGCAGAAACAUGAAUCUGAAAGGGGACCGUGAUGAUUUUACUCUGUAGUUUAAUUGUAGUUCGUUUUAGCCUGGUACCGUAUUGUUUUGGGUUAAUUUUUACCGAUUAUCUUUGGUUACAGCAGUCAGAAUUUUCAGCAAAAAAAGGUCUGACAUUCAUUUUCUACGACCUAUCGAGCACCAGAAAACAGGCACACAAAGUUAGCAACUACCCGGUGAAUAGUGGGCACUAAACAGCUACAGAACCAGAUGUUUCUGUCAGCAGUCAGGAUUUUUCCCUGCUUAAAAGGAGCCUCUUGGGGUGACUACACACAUGACCACUAUUGCAUGUAGCUAAAGCAAAGAGUCUGUUAGUGAGGAAGAGAUUGGAGAAAUACCCUUGUCACAAGUGCUUCUCAGUUUCUCUACCAGACGGCACUCUGCAGCUUCCCUGUUGGCAUGUGCUUUGGGUGUAAAUGAGUAAUCCAUGACUUGUAACAGCAAAAGUUUAUUUUUAAACUGCAUUUUCAAAUGAUCUUAGUACGGACAUGUAAAUAACUACAUAUAAAAAAUGUCAGGGAAAUCUGUUUAUGUUUGUGUGACUGGGAAAAAAAAAAAACUGGCUGAUAUAUCAGAUUUUUAAGUCGCCAAAUAUCAGUAUCUGUCUGAAAAAUCCUAUAUUGGUCGAGUUCUGCUUUAUACUCCCAUCAAGAGGGCAAAAAUAUAUUAAAUUCAAAGUCUGAAGAAGUGUGAAUAUUACAACAUUAGCAGAAACUUUACAGGCCAGUUUAUAAUAGUAGGUUAAAAACAGGUGUUCCUAAUUAUAAUGAUGAAGGCUCUGUUAUAUGUAGGGUGAUGCCCUAAUAACUGUCAUUACCGGUGUCCUUAUGUUAGAAUGGCUGCUGUGAAAGGCUCUAUUGUUAAGAUAAGAUAAGAUAAGAUAAAACUUUAAUGAUCCCACGACGGGGAAAUUUGUGCAUUGGCAGAUUCUUAGUAGUGAUUCUUGCGUUCACGCUAAGGCCUGUUAAGCUUGACUAAACCUGUGGACAACUUUUACAUAUUUAACAGCUCAAUCAAUAAGGAGUGAAAGAGAAGAGCAGAGUGAGACAACAAACAGUAUAACAAUAAACACUGAAUGUCUGAGCUGCUGUCCAUGGUCCUGAAAGCUGUUUGAGCACAUUUCCAAAAUGCAUAUUCUUCAUGUAGGCAUGUCUACUAAAAACAAAUACACUAAAGCUUUUCUGCUUAAUCUAGUUAUUUCCCAGUACUGUGGUUUGUAAUACUGAUGAAGUGUUUUGGUGUGUAUGUGUGUGUCCGCAACCCUUGGACUCUGUCCCCUGACCCUCCGACUGCCACGGCCUUGCCACCUGCCUUGUGGGGGGAAAAAUAACCUGCACAAUGCCAACAAUGACUCUUCUUCUCCUGGACACUCGUGUCCUGGGUCCAAAUACGAAAUCGAUUCGCCUGCGAGAGGAAGCAUUGGCAAAGGAGCAGGUCACAACUACGAGCAGCCAGAGCAGCGCUGAGAAAUUACGUAAGAUCUUAAAAGAGGAGAAGAGGAUGAAGAAAAAACAGAAGAG
This is an RNA transcript of Archocentrus centrarchus (flier cichlid), 3670 nucleotides long. It is a transcript of the gene named tetratricopeptide repeat domain 14, with no coding region annotated. The transcript is spliced from 12 exons. NCBI's taxonomy places the organism in Eukaryota, Metazoa, Chordata, Actinopteri, Cichliformes, Cichlidae. The record is from RefSeq and is a predicted model, not a curated record.